Molecule: ribosomal RNA, 216 nt
Filed under: Glomeromycotina sp.
Lineage: Eukaryota; Fungi; Glomeromycota
Description: partial small subunit ribosomal RNA
Rfam family: Eukaryotic small subunit ribosomal RNA (bases 40-216)
Source: RNAcentral
GGGUCAGUAGGAUGGUCGUGCCACCGGUACGUACUGGUCUCACUGAUUCCUCCUUCCUGAAGAACCGUAAUGCCAUUAAUUUGGUGUUGCGGGGAAACAGGACUGUUACUUUGAAAAAAUUAGAUUGUUUAAAGCCAGCUAACGCUUGAAUACAUUAGCAUGGAAUAAUGAAAUAGGACGAUCGAUCCUAUUUUGUUGGUUUCUAGGAUUGACGUA